GGUUAAGUUAGAAAGGGCGCACGGCGGAUGCCUUGGCACUAGGAGCCGAUGAAGGACGGUACAAACACCGAUAUGCUCCGGGGAGCUGUACGUAAGCUUUGAUCCGGAGAUUUCCGAAUGGGGAAA
RNAcentral lists this ribosomal RNA (126 nucleotides) under Heyndrickxia coagulans. RNAcentral describes it as "partial 23S ribosomal RNA". It matches the Rfam family "Bacterial large subunit ribosomal RNA", at positions 1 to 126 of the family's 2925-position model. The record is from RNAcentral. Lineage: Bacteria; Bacillati; Bacillota; Bacilli; Caryophanales; Bacillaceae.